Long non-coding RNA from Pecten maximus, 1798 nucleotides. RefSeq lists it as uncharacterized. The record is from RefSeq and is a predicted model, not a curated record. NCBI's taxonomy places the organism in Eukaryota, Metazoa, Mollusca, Bivalvia, Pectinida, Pectinidae. The transcript has 2 exons.
GGUCAAAGUCAAUAUUAAAGUUUGCAUCCUUCCACUGAUGACCUGAUGAAGUAAAAUUGGUCAAUAUCAAACAAGGGGUCAAUUAAAAAGGUCGCUGUAUCAGAGGUUAAGGUUCCUGAUGAAUGAUUUGUUAUCCCUUGAUGAAGAAAAAUUGGUAAGAAUUAAAGGAGUUACCGACAAUAGGUCAAUGUAACUAGAUCAAAUUCAAGGUCACUGGAUCAAGUCAAGGUAAUUUGUUUUAAUGAUGAACCUUUUGUUAUGAUACUAUUAAGCUGACUAAAUGUCAAGGUCACUGGUUCAAAAAUCAACGUAACAUUUUGUAUAUUAUCACUGAUUAACAUUUUGUUAUAAUAUUAUGAAUCAAAGAGUCAUCUGGCCAAAGUUCAAGGUCAUGGCAUCAAAUUUUACUUCGAUAUCUUUUUGUAAUUGAAUCUGAUACAAAAUUCAUGAAUGGCUGACAUUUCUGUAAUAUCUCUCGAACGUUUUAUAUGUACGAUUUCCUUGUUAUCAGAUCAUUAUCUUGAGAAAAAAUCAUCCUCAGAACAAUAACAGAUUAUUCAAUAGUGUGCGCCAAGAUCCCUUAUUAAACUUUUGUUUGUGAUAACCAUAAUUCUCAACUAGAGUUUACCUUAACACAUACACUCAUUUAUGUUGUAAUAAUUACUGUAUUGUAAAUAUUUGUGAAAAUACAUUCAUUGCUUAUGAAUCAUGAUGAAUGUUCAUGUUCCAAGAAUGAAUUCGUCUCAAAAUUCAUUUUUCUUGGGAAUCUUUGAAAUAAGUCAAGGUGACACUGGGUAAGAGGCAAAGGUCACAUUUUGUACUUUUUAUGGAUGAACAUUUUGUGAUUACCAUUAUUCUCAACUAGAGAAUGCAGACAUUUUGUAUAUAGAUAUUUACCUGAAUACACAUGAUCUCAUUUAUGUUGUAAUAAUUACUGUAAUGUAAAUAUUUGUGAGAAUACAUUCAUUGCCUGUGAAUCAUGAUGAAAGUUCAUGUUCCAAGAAUGAAUUUGUCACAAAAUUUAUUUUCUUGAGAGUCUUUAAAACAUGUCUUUUUUUGUAAUUAGAUGAUUAGUUUGAAUAUGUGUACACUGUAUUUAUAAGGUUGAUGUUUCUGUCUAUCAGGGGAGAUAAUCAGUAGAGAUUCACAUUUCAAUAAACUGUAUUGAUCCUAUUGUACCUACAAUGUAUUAAGAAUUUAUAUUUGAUAAUCCAUUAAAUAUGUUAUAUAUAUCAGCUAGAUACUGAUAAUGAGAAAUACGAGAGGAUCAGUGAACUUUGAUUUAAGUUCAAGUGGAAGCUUUACUUUUAGACUUUAAGACAAGUUUAUUAAAUGUGCAUCAACCUGUGUCGAUGGGAACAUUUAUGCUUAUACAGCAUUUGGAAUUUCAAAAGCACAUUUAAUAUUUUCUGUUUGAUUGAUAAGUUUGAGCUCAAGUGAGCUUAUGCCAUACCGUUGCAUCCGUCGUCCAUCCGUUUGUCGUCCGUCAGUUCAACAAUUGAUCUUUCCUUCAUAACCACUGAUCGGAAUUUGACCAAAUUUGGGUUGACCCCCGUGGUCCUGAGGGGCAGGGCCAAAAGAGGUCAAUUUGUUUAAACAACUUCUCUGAAACUAAGCAAUGGAAAUAGCUCAAAUUUGACUGGUAGCAACCUUUUGGGGUAGGGAUUCAAAGUCACUUCAUAGAUUAGUUGUACUUUCUGACAUAAAAGCUUCAUUUGUAUGGUAGCUUAACCCCUAGGUGUCAAAGUCUUAAUUUACCAAUUCUAAUCGCUUUUUUUCCGUCGUCGUCCGUAAAAAA